GACGAACGCUGGCGGCGUGCUUAACACAUGCAAGUCGAACGGAAAGGCCCUGCUUUGGUGGGGUGCUCGAGUGGCGAACGGGUGAGUAACACGUGAGUAACCUGCCCUUGACUUUGGGAUAACUUCAGGAAACUGGGGCUAAUACCGGAUAGGAGCUCCUGCUGCAUGGUGGGGGUUGGAAAGUUUCGGCGGUUGGGGAUGGACUCGCGGCUUAUCAGCUUGUUGGUGGGGUAGUGGCUUACCAAGGCUUUGACGGGUAGCCGGCCUGAGAGGGUGACCGGCCACCUUGGGACUGAGAUACGGCCCAGACUCCUACGGGAGGCAGCAGUGGGGAAUAUUGCACAAUGGGCGGAAGCCUGAUGCAGCAACGCCGCGUGCGGGAUGACGGCCUUCGGGUUGUAAACCGCUUUCGCCUGUGACGAAGCGUGAGUGACGGUAAUGGGUAAAGAAGCACCGGCUAACUACGUG
RNAcentral lists this ribosomal RNA (468 nucleotides) under uncultured bacterium. RNAcentral's name for it is "partial 16S ribosomal RNA". It matches the Rfam family "Bacterial small subunit ribosomal RNA", at positions 28 to 507 of the family's 1533-position model. The record is from RNAcentral.